UUUUUUUUUUUUUUUUUUUUGGCCCAACUUCCCUUUGCCUUUUCUGUUGUUUUUAACCAUGUCUACUUUACUUCCUUGCCCAUGGUCCUAAAAUAAAAUGAAGACAUUUUAUUUUCCAUGCCUUUGUUUUCCUCCCAGCUUUGCUUUUGAUCCAGACCUAUUUUUGUGCGUUUCUUCAAGUUCACAGUAUUCUUAUUUUUAUAUCCCUGUCAUAUCUUUGGAAGUUAUGGAUGAGAUUUGGGGAGAUUUGUUGUUGAUAAACGAGAUCUCUGUUAGAGAGAGAACAAGGCAGAUGAGAGGGAGAGAGAGAGAGAAACAGAUUCUGCCACCACCCAAAGAAGCAUCACCGGAAGCAAUUGUUGGUGUUUCUUGCUUUGCUCCCACUCACAGGUAGCGAUUGAUUUCUUUUAAGGUACCAACUUUGGCCUUCGAUUGAGCACUUUGUUUCUUCAGAGUUCAAGUGAAAAUUAUGAGGAUCCUUUUGUUUAAACUGUUUGUUUGUUUUUAAUAUCCAACUUUUGUGUUUCUGUGUGCUGUGAGUGAAUUUUCGGUGUACCCAUCUUCUGAAUUUGAUUUUGUGGAUUGCAGGGCAAAUUAACUUGAGCAUUUAGAUUUCUAUUUUCUUGGAGUAACCUCCCCGUUGAUCACCAUCAAUUGAUGGAUUUGGGUUGUAAGGAGAUAGAGAAACCAGUGAGACAAGAAGAAAACUCAAGCAGAUGGUGGUAAGUCCUGGGGAAUGUAUGGUGGUAAAUCCUGGGGAUUGUUUCUAACAAAAUCUCUUUUGUUUUGACUCUGCAACUUUCUAGUUUCCAGUUGUUUAUUAUGCAUAUAUAUUGGAGACAUGAUUUUAUUUUAUUUUAUUUUUUGAAGUAGGAGAUAUAUUUUAUUAGUUUCAUGUAAAACAUGUAAAACAAGAAGAAAGUAUUAGUAUUAAAAUUUUACAUGUGUUCAACUUUUGAUUACUCAAAUAAAUUCUGACUCCUUUUUUUCUUAAUUUAAAAUAAUCAAACUUUUCUUCUUCACUUCUUAGCGUAAAAUGUAUAUAAAUCAAAUAUAUGAAUAAUUAUUUUAAUUUAGAUACAAAGAUUGAGUUAAUUAAUCAUUUAAAUUAGUCAAAUAAUGAAAAAUACGCUCUAUUUAAUGAUAAUUUUUAGUCAGUAUUUAACUUCAUAGUCUUUCAAAUUUAAUUUUUAUUUUUUUACUAGCUGAAUUACUAUAAUAAGAGCAACUUUUUUUUUUAAUAAAUUACUUUAGUUCAGUCCAGUUAACAUGAUUUUGUUAUGAGAACAAAUAUGAAACAAAGGGAUUAUAAAUGGUCUUUUUUUAAUUAAUAUAUUUAUCUAAUUGAUUUUUAUGAAAGCAACAAAGUAGGCAGUUUAUAUAUUUUGACAUUAUAUGGUGGAACCUACUAUUAAAUAUGGGUCUCACAUAUUUAUAUCUUGGAUCUAGGAUGAACCGGGUAUAGGUAAGAAUUUCUAUUCGACUAGUUGCUUUUCAGAGUCUCCACAGGCUAAAUAGGAGAAAACAGAUUAUCAUAAUAAUAAAAAAAUUAUUAUUUUCUACUCGACCAAUUAACCUACUGGCUAUAUGGUACAUCAACGUACAUUAUCAUUUGCCCAUAAAUGGAAUUCAUUUUACUGAAAGCAAUAAAGCAGGGGAACUGGUUUUGAUUAGGCAAUUAGCUUGUUGAAACUGGUCUUUUUUUCAUAAAAAUAAUAUAGAAUCUCUUUGAAAGCUAUUACUAUUGAGAGCUGAGAGCUUGAGGUUGAUCAUCAUGGAAAGAAAGAUAAUUCUUCAUAGCAUUAUUCGUGAGGGGAAAUUUGUAAGCUUUCUCUUCCUUGUUCUAUACAUUCACGUUCUCUUUUUCCUUUGUUGUUUUUCCUUUUUAUUGUUCUUGGGAUUUUGAUUGUGUGUGAUUUUGUCUUUAUCAGCAUAUUCCAGGAGAGUUUUGGAGGAAAUGUGGGCAAGAUCUGUCGAGUACUGUAGUCCUUAAAGUCCCUGGUGAUGCUAUAUGGCAUGUGGAGCUGUUGGUGUGUGGUCAUGACGUUUGGUUGGGAAAUGGUUGGCGAGAAUUUGCAGGUUAUUACUCUCUAGCCUUUGGGCACUUGAUACCUUUCAAACACAAAGGAGACUCCAUUUCCAUUUAUUCAUAUUUGACAAGAGUGCUACGGAGAUAAAGUAACCAUGUGGUAGCAUCGGUGCUGGGAAACCAAAACUCCAAAACCCAAAAAUGGAAGAUAAUAAUGAUUAUCUGCCAUCAAGCAAGAAAAAGGGCGAGAAAUCACUGUUUCUACAGCCUCCUAAUUAAGUGGACGGGAACUGAUUCAGCAACGAAUGAAGGUAUGAUAUGAUUCUGCCUUUUUCUUUUUUACCCAAACAAAACUCUUCUUUUAGCUUUUUCUAUUGUACUUUUCUGAUAAUUGUGAUAUUUGAUGAUUCUUGACUGGAUGAUAAAUAAUGAAAUUGAACCUAAAACUUGCUUUGAAGGUAACACAAGAAUCUAAUUUUUGCCUUCAGCUCAAUAAUCUUCUUACCUGGAAAAUUUAAAGAUGAACCUUACCUGAUCUGAGAACUGGGCUAUCUUAUUGAUUCUGCAAAACAAAUAUUUGUUCAUCUGUUAGUUGGUGUAAUGUAGGAAAGUCCAUGCCAGUGAUGUGCAAAAAGAGUGAUUUUGGGCUAGCUACAACAAGGCCUUCUUCAUGUUUGAGUACCUUUCAAGCUCUUCAAGCUGCCAACAACUUCACCUCAGAGUAUCCAUCUUUCAAGCUUAUUGUGCCUUCAUAUCACUGGAAACAUUGCAAUGUGGUAGGGUCAUCAGUUCUUUUAAAUAUAGUUAAACUAACAUAUUAACCAGAAAUAACUUGAUAUUUUAUUUGAGCUUGGUUGUGAAGACUUGCAAACUUGUUGCUAUGGAGAAACCUGCGUAAAUCAGAAAAUUAGAUGAUACCUUAUGAUAAAUAGUUAGGCUUGCUAGGUUUCUGGGUUGAUUAUCAAAUUUUAACUUGAGUUGGAUACCUGCCACCCUGCAGCCAUCUCCUACGUUCAUACACAUCGAAAGCUUAUGUUCAAAUUUUAUUAUUACAUUUAUAAUGACACUAUUUAAUCUCCAUACAGACCACACCAUGUCGCUUUUUCCGUAGGUAUUUUGAGCAUAAGGCUGAGAAUGCUAUACUUCAGGUUGCAGACAGAGUAUGGCCUGUGCAGUUCAAACCUGCUCUAAGAAAUCAUUCAGUUGCCCUAAGUGUGGGUUGGCGUGCCUUUGCAACCGCAAAUUCUCUGGAAGCUGGAGAUGUUUGCAUCUUUGAGCUGAUCAAGAGUAAUGUUAUGAAAGUAUCCAUUUUCUGAAGUGUCAAUUGCAAUUCCGUGAAUUGUUUUUGCUGGAACCAGUUUAUGGCAGUCAUAGACUGUAAGAUAACUAUGUUUCUAUAAAACUCUGUUGUUUCCUCUUGAAUAGAACUGUAACUUAUAUUUAAAUUAUGUACUUAAGCCACAAUAACCUUGUGAAAAACGUUGUUUAAUACAUCUAGUUACCAUUUGUAAAGAAAUAUGCUCUUGCCAAACAUACCCUCAAUUAAAGCUUUGAGCAG
This 3587-nucleotide unclassified non-coding RNA is filed under the name Hevea brasiliensis (rubber tree). Lineage: Eukaryota; Viridiplantae; Streptophyta; Magnoliopsida; Malpighiales; Euphorbiaceae. The record is from RNAcentral.